Macaca mulatta (Rhesus monkey) is the source of this 546-nucleotide non-coding RNA. The record is from RefSeq and is a predicted model, not a curated record. NCBI's taxonomy places the organism in Eukaryota, Metazoa, Chordata, Mammalia, Primates, Cercopithecidae.
GCUGUCCUCGCGUUCCGGGACACUGCGCCCUUCUGGCGGCCCUCUCCCGGAGCAGCCCCACAGGGCGCGCACAGAAGGCGCCUCCCAUUUCCGCGAGCUCUGCUGGGUGACCCCUGUCACUCUCCCCUACGCAUCGGGCUCUCUGCCUUGCUGCGUGCGGGAUGUGCAGAGGCUCGGAUGCGGGACAGAGGCAGAAAAUCGCUGUAGAGGCCUCGCGGGAUCCGUCUUGCGGUGACCCGGCUUGGAACGCGACCCUACCACAAAGGACAGGCCAGAUGCCAGAUGGAGAGCAGUGUUCCCUUCACACUUCGGUUCUGUAAAUGGCAGUGGAUGAAGACCACAGGCGCUACUAGGUUCACAGGAUGCUGCCACCAGGAUUCUCCAAAGACUCCCCCUGGCAAAUGCCAGUGAAAUGGAGGGGAGCCACAUGGUUCCCAGAGGCUCAAGAAGCAGAAACACUGAGGCCUGCUGGGAAAGGGAAAGCUGUAGGCAAAGGAAUGGCUGCAAACAAACUGGGUGGAAGGAAACUCCAUCUAUCCUUCAGAA